This 1275-nucleotide long non-coding RNA is filed under the name Homo sapiens (human). RNAcentral describes it as "HSALNT0334500". Lineage: Eukaryota; Metazoa; Chordata; Mammalia; Primates; Hominidae. The record is from RNAcentral.
CAAGUGGACAGACUUGUUUGGCCAAUGCCCCUAGUUCUCACUUUUCUUUCUCCAAAGAAAAAAAUCAGAAAAGCAAAACCAGAGCAAACCAAACAUAGGUUAGAGCUAAUGAGAAGUACAGGAUGUCUGGUUUCAACUUUUAAAAGAUGACCACUAAAUUAGAUUGUAACUUCAGAGAGGAAGGAAAAUUAAGACUAUCGAUGAAUUCUUUGUCUUUAGCAGUGCCAAGAAAGCAGAGAAAAAAAGAAUCCGCAGAAGAGAAGAGACCUAGAGAAGUUGCUUAGUCCUCCCCCGCGGGAGGGCUGUACCUCAAAAAUGCCAUAUUGGAGGGACGUCCAGUUCUCCUAGGUUUCCAGGGAAACUCUGUCCAAGUUGUGGAUAUGUCAUUGGUUUGUUACCCUCUUUAUUCACUGGUCUUCUCUGUCUCAUACCACAAUGGCAAACCCAGAGAGAUGGACCGACCUAGUUGGCCUGGUGAUCAGGUUGCUACUAAUGAAGAUCUGCCUGCCAAACCUGCCUUCCUCGAAAUAUCCCUUCAUGUGAAAGCAUUAUGAGAAAGGGUAAAUCUAAUUGUAUACUAUAAUAGUGGCAGUAGGUGAGUUUACGUCACACACGCUAGGAAACUGCUUUAAUCUUUCGACAUCUCUCUCUUUCCAAAUCAUGCACGCAUUCAUUCCAUCAUCAAACAUUUAUUGAAAAUCUACACACCAGACACUGUUCUAGGCCCUGGGGAUAAGAAGUAAUGAAAACAACUGUCCCCUAGGAGUCUGCACUCUAGUUGAGGGAGGUGCUGGCUAGCCUCUGUUUACCCUCCAGGUCCAUCUUUGCCCUUUUCUGUGCCCCAGGAGGCUAGCCCCGCACUCUACUGUGCCUUGUCCUCUGGGAGGGUGAUGGAAGGUAGGGAGAGUGGGAGAUCCCAGCGGGAGGUUGUAGUAUGGAAGCACUGGAGAGCUAGGCAUUUUCUCCCCGCCAACUCCUUCCAGGCUGCAGUUUUGGCAGUGGUUGUGUUCCUGCCCUCUAGCCACAGAUCCUGGGGGAUCCCCCUCUCCCAUAGCCACAGAUCUUGGCAGGUUCCUCUGACACCUCUCUUACCUCCCCACCCUUCUUGACCCUUUUUACUUAAUGAGAGGCAACCCAUGGCUGCUCAAUGCUGUCGGUUCUAUGUUGACUUAACUGUUCUUACCUCUUCUGUUACCCUUUGAGAAUGUCACUUCUUUUCUGCCAGGACCUUGACUGAUACAGAAAUACAGAAAAUAAACAAACAAAUGAGUUAUA